GGGCCGCUAGCUCAAUUGGCAGAGCAAGAGACUCUUAAUCUCUAGGUUCCAGGUUCGAGUCCUGGGCGGCUCACCA
RNAcentral lists this transfer RNA (76 nucleotides) under Actinomycetota bacterium. Its description in RNAcentral is "tRNA-Lys". It matches the Rfam family "tRNA". Rfam says of the family: Transfer RNA (tRNA) molecules are approximately 80 nucleotides in length. Lineage: Bacteria; Bacillati; Actinomycetota. The record is from RNAcentral.